RNAcentral lists this ribosomal RNA (468 nucleotides) under uncultured bacterium. Its description in RNAcentral is "partial 16S ribosomal RNA". It matches the Rfam family "Bacterial small subunit ribosomal RNA", at positions 28 to 507 of the family's 1533-position model. The record is from RNAcentral.
GACGAACGCUGGCGGCGUGCUUAACACAUGCAAGUCGAACGGUAAGGCCCUGCUUUUGUGGUGUGCUCGAGUGGCGAACGGGUGUGUAACACGUGAGUAACCUGCCCUUGACUUUGGUAUAACUUCAGGACACUGUGUCUAAUACCGUAUAGGAGCUCCUGCUGCAUGGUGUGGUUUGGAAAGUUUCGGCGGUUGGGGAUGGACUCGCGGCUUAUCAGCUUGUUGGUGGGGUAGUGGCUUACCAAGGCUUUGACGGGUAGCCGGCCUGAGAGGGUGACCGGCCACAUUGGGACUGAGAUACGGCCCAGACUCCUACGGGAGGCAGCAGUGGGGAAUAUUGCACAAUGGGCGGAAGCCUGAUGCAGCAACGCCGCGUGCGGGAUGACGGCCUUCGGGUUGUAAACCGCUUUCGCCUGUGAAGAAGCGAGAGUGACGGUAAUGGGUAAAGAAGCACCGGCUAACUACGUG